This 23-nucleotide non-coding RNA is filed under the name Arabidopsis thaliana (thale cress). Lineage: Eukaryota; Viridiplantae; Streptophyta; Magnoliopsida; Brassicales; Brassicaceae. The record is from RNAcentral.
AUUCCAAUCUCAUAUAUCACGCA